RNAcentral lists this ribosomal RNA (253 nucleotides) under uncultured bacterium. Its description in RNAcentral is "partial 16S ribosomal RNA". It matches the Rfam family "Bacterial small subunit ribosomal RNA", at positions 524 to 776 of the family's 1533-position model. The record is from RNAcentral.
UACGUAGGUGACAAGCGUUGUCCGGAUUUACUGGGCGUAAGGAGCGCGCAGGCGGUCGAUCAAGUCGAGUGUGAAAGCCCCCGGCUCAACUGGGGAGGGUCAUUCGAUACUGAUCGACUCGAAGGCAGGAGAGGGUAGUGGAAUUCCCGGUGUAGUGGUGAAAUGCGUAGAUAUCGGGAGGAACACCAGUGGCGAAGGCGACUACCUGGCCUGUUCUUGACGCUGAGGCGCGAAAGCUAGGGGAGCAAACGGG